GUCUCGAUGGUGUAGUUGGUUAUCACGUGGGUCUCAUAAUCCCAAGGCCGGGAGUUCGAACCUCCCUCGGGACA
This is a non-coding RNA of Aspergillus tubingensis, 74 nucleotides long. NCBI's taxonomy places the organism in Eukaryota, Fungi, Ascomycota, Eurotiomycetes, Eurotiales, Aspergillaceae. The record is from the annotation of a RefSeq genome assembly.